CAUGUUGUCGAUCUGUGUGCGGUCUGUUCGUUAAUCUCCACAACACGCCGCGACCGUUGGUAAGGUCUUGGAAAAGUUCAAGGUGCAACGAAUCUCACCGUAUGUCCCAAAUGGGACGGCUGCCGGACUUUCCGAGGCAUUGCAUGGAGCCUCGCUGCAGUUUUUGGAGAUUCAUGGCCUGGAAGUCGGUUUGCAGACCCCACAUCAGUGUGGAUGGUUGUCUUGAAAUGCGCGUGCACUAUAGUGCUGGCAAGGAUUUUGCACAUCCGCCUUCAUCUUGGAGCGGUGCAAGCUUAGAGCUGUGUCAGCAAAUAGAAGCAGCACAACACCAAGUCUUCACUGAGCCGUCCAACAAAUUAUCUGGCAUUUGGUUGUUUUCCUAGAGGUUUUCCCAUAGCUGGGGGUCCCAAUUUGACAUAACUACUGUAGCCACGGAAGGUCGGAACCUUGCACACCAGUCAUUGAUGAUUCUGUUCAUUUCCUGUUUUUUGCGGCGAAGGAGCAGCUCUGGGCUUUGAAAGGAACUGUGCCUAUUCAUGUGAUGUGUAACACCGCCCUGCAUUCGACUUGUUGGUUGCAAUUGAUUGGGAUCGGCACCAGGUCGGAGUCGAAUUGGUUCUUCACAACCAGAGAAAGACUCGGAAGUUGUAGAAUGCGAGUUUCGGUAAUCCAACGAUCCUGAUCUCGUUGGCUUUGAGUUUUUACAUUCUUAUCCGUUAUUCACUUUCGAAGGUAAUUUCAGCUAUGGAAGUGUUCAAGAAACUAUGCCUUCGUUCCCUUUCUCCGAAUCAAAAGGGGGUUUUGAAGGGUUCUGAAAAAUAAAUGCCACUCACUCUUUCCGUUACAUGGUUUUCGUCACUGGACAUGCUCUUGGAAUCUGCACACGCUAGUGGAAGCCGAAGUUGUGGGUCAGGAGGAAGGUGAAAAUAAACGUUGUUAUGCAAAACCUUUUCAAAUCUGAGUACCACAUUGCAUGUUGAUCGUGGUUAAAAGUGCGCUGUAAGGAACAUUAUGCCAGUGGUGAAAGAUGGCAGUCCACCAGAAGUUGAUCAAGUUUAUUUUCUUAAUGCGAAAUUGAGCAACAAGUUGACGAGAAUUUUAACUGGUUUCUGUAAUCCUUGUUUUUUCUACUUAUGUUAAAGCAAAUGUUUUCGUUGAAACGAGAUCACAGCGCACCUGCCAGCCAAGCUGGUAUCGCUUUCUAGUGUAAUUCCAGAUGCCACCUCGAUUCAAUCUUUUUGGAUAUCGCAUGUUAUGUUGAGUUGCUGGUGCCACGAGUUUGCAGCUAUCGCUGCUCAUGGUGCACGUAGACUUGCAGUCUAGCCAUGAGAGCGGUUCGAAGGCGAGCAGUAAACCUUGUUACUACUCCUGCAGGCUUUGCUAUCAGAUGCUUCUUCCUCUAUUCAGCAAGAAUUCUGGAUGCAAGCGUCACUGAUCUGAACUUUCUCGUAAGACGAAGUAGUGGCAUUGAUGAAAGUUGAGCAUUGUCUUGCGGCAAGAAUUCCACAAAUACCUGUCACCUUGGAAUGUGCGUAUUCUGGUGGAGUGUCCGAAUUCCAGAGGGUUUGUGCAAAUGUCGAACUCGAAAAAAAAGAUGUUUGCUUUUAUUUCAGACGAAUGUGGGGUCCUUCGAAUCAGAUUGUUCGAUACCAGGGAAAAGAAAUGGCAUAGAUUCGGAAUGCAUAACAUCAGGCGACGUAGUUGACAAUGUAGAUGGCAAUGUGGACAAUCCAAUAAUCUCGCAUUGGACCAUCUAGAAUGAACAGAGUGUGGUUUCAGAGCGUGUCACAUAGCCUCACAGGUGAUUUGAAGUUCCAGCGUGUAUCUCUGUAAAUGGAUACAAACCUCAUUUUGAUGGAGCUGGGAUUUAUAAUUGUGAUCGACACUUUACUACUAUCAUAGUAGAUAUGGCUUCAUCGAGGUUCAGUAUUCGUGAUUUCGGCUAGUAA
Molecule: non-coding RNA, 1949 nt
Organism: Physcomitrium patens
Lineage: Eukaryota; Viridiplantae; Streptophyta; Bryopsida; Funariales; Funariaceae
Source: RefSeq, a predicted model, not a curated record